Molecule: ribosomal RNA, 497 nt
Filed under: uncultured bacterium
Lineage: Bacteria
Description: partial 16S ribosomal RNA
Rfam family: Bacterial small subunit ribosomal RNA
Source: RNAcentral
GAUGAACGCUGGCGGCGUGCCUAAUACAUGCAAGUCGAGCGAACAGACGAGGAGCUUGCUCCUCUGACGUUAGCGGCGGACGGGUGAGUAACACGUGGAUAACCUACCUAUAAGACUGGGAUAACUUCGGGAAACCGGAGCUAAUACCGGAUAAUAUAUUGAACCGCAUGGUUCAAUAGUGAAAGACGGUUUUGCUGUCACUUAUAGAUGGAUCCGCGCCGCAUUAGCUAGUUGGUAAGGUAACGGCUUACCAAGGCAACGAUGCGUAGCCGACCUGAGAGGGUGAUCGGCCACACUGGAACUGAGACACGGUCCAGACGCCUACGAGAGGCAGCAGUAGGGAAUCUUCCGCAAUGGGCGAAAGCCUGACGGAGCAACGCCGCGUGAGUGAUGAAGGUCUUCGGAUCGUAAAACUCUGUUAUUAGGGAAGAACAAAUGUGUAAGUAACUAUGCACGUCUUGACGGUACCUAAUCAGAAAGCCACGGCUAACUACGUG